RNAcentral lists this ribosomal RNA (1351 nucleotides) under Zoraida sp. 1 NS-2013. RNAcentral describes it as "SSU rRNA". It matches the Rfam family "Eukaryotic small subunit ribosomal RNA", at positions 434 to 1682 of the family's 1831-position model. Lineage: Eukaryota; Metazoa; Arthropoda; Insecta; Hemiptera; Derbidae. The record is from RNAcentral.
GCGCAAUUACCCACUCCCGGCACGGGGAGGUAGUGACGAGGAAUAACGAUACGGGACUCAUCCGAGGCCCCGUAAUCGUAAUGAGUAUACUCUAAACACUUGUACGAGUAUCAAUUGGAGGGCAAGUCUGGUGCCAGCAGCCGCGGUAAUUCCAGCUCCAAAAGCGUAUAUUAAAGUUGUUGCGGUUAAAAAGCUCGUAGUCUGUCCUGUGUCCGGCGCCGUCGGUUCACCCCGCCGCGGGUGUACAACUGGCGCGCCAGCCGGACGUCACGCCGGUGGCCACGAAGCCCUCGGGCGGCCGCGGUAAUGGGGUUCGCAAAGGCGAAAGCCGCCGCGUUCGACCGCCGCGACCACCGCCCGUACGGCGGACGGCCUGAAAAUCUCGCAGCGGUGCUCUUCGCCGGGCGCCGAGGCGGGCCGGUUGGUUUACUUUGAACAAAUUAGAGUGCUAAAAGCCGGUGACUUCUGUCGAAGCACCACACAGUGCGCAUGGAAUAAUGAAAAAGGACCUCGGUUCUGUUUUCGUUGGUUCUCGGAAUCCGAGGUAAUGAUCAAUGGGGACGGGCGGGGGCAUUCGUAUUGCGACGUUAGAGGUGAAAUUCUUGGAUCGUCGCAAGACGGACCGGUGCGAAAGCGUUUGCCAAGUACGCUCCCGUCGAUCAAGAACGAAAGUUAGAGGUUCGAAGGCGAUCAGAUACCGCCCUAGUUCUAACCAUAAACGAUGCCUGCCAGCGAUCCGCCGGAGUUCCUUCGAUGACCCGGCGGGCAGCUUCCGGGAAACCAGAGCCUUUGGGUUCCGGGGGAAGUAUGGUUGCAAAUCUGAAACUUAAAGGAAUUGACGGAAGGGCACCACCAGGAGUGGAGCCUGCGGCUUAAUUUGACUCAACACGGGAAAACUCACCAGGCCAGGACACCGGAAGGAUUGACAGAUUGACAGCUCUUUCUUGAUUCGGUGGGUGGUGGUGCAUGGCCGUUCUUAGUUGGUGGAACGAUUUGUCUGGUUAAUUCCGAUAACGAACGAGACUCUGACUUGCUAAAUAGGCGCCCAGCAUCCGCAUACGCGCUGCUGGCGUCCGCAUAUCUUCUUAGAGGGACAGGCGGCUUCUAGCCGCACAAAACUGAGCAAUAACAGGUCUGUGAUGCCCUUAGAUGUCCUGGGCCGCACGCGCGCUACAAUGGGCCAAUCAGCGUGUCAUCCCUGUCCGAAAGGACCGGGCAACCCGCUGAACCUGGCCUGUGCUAGGGAUUGGGGUUUGCAAUUGCACCCCAUGAACGAGGAAUUCCCAGUAAGCGCGAGUCACAAACUCGCGUCGAUUACGUCCCUGCCCUUUGUACACACCGCCCUCGCUAU